UACCAGACUCCUACGGGAGGCAGCAGUGAGGAAUAUUGGUCAAUGGCCGCAGGGCUGAACCAGCCAAGUCGCGUGAGGGAUGACGGUCCUAUGGAUUGUAAACCUCUUUUGUCAGGGAGCAAAGGGCGCCACGUGUGGCGUUUUGCGAGUACCUGAAGAAAAAGCAUCGGCUAACUCCGUGCCAGCAGCCGCGGUAAUACGGAGGAUGCGAGCGUUAUCCGGAUUUAUUGGGUUUAAAGGGUGCGUAGGCGGUUUUUUAAGUUAGUGGUUAAACGUCGGGGCUUCACCUUGAUUUGCCAUUAAUACUGUAAGACUCGAGUUCAGACGAGGUAGGCGGAAUAAGUUAAGUAGCGGUGAAAUGCUUAGAUAUAACUUAGAACUCCGAUAGCGAAGGCAGCUUACCAGACUGCGACUGACGCUGAAGCACGAGAGCGUGGGUAGCGAACAGGAUUAGAUACCCUAGUA
This 465-nucleotide ribosomal RNA is filed under the name uncultured bacterium. Its description in RNAcentral is "bacterial SSU rRNA". It matches the Rfam family "Bacterial small subunit ribosomal RNA", at positions 329 to 792 of the family's 1533-position model. The record is from RNAcentral.